Long non-coding RNA from Bombina bombina (fire-bellied toad), 196 nucleotides. RefSeq lists it as uncharacterized. The record is from RefSeq and is a predicted model, not a curated record. NCBI's taxonomy places the organism in Eukaryota, Metazoa, Chordata, Amphibia, Anura, Bombinatoridae. The transcript is spliced from 3 exons.
GUGCUCUGCUACAGUAUAAAGGUGCAGAGGAAGUUGAUAUGGUCACAUAAACAGAACCAAAAAAUACAAUAAGGCGAGCAUGUUCUCCUCAGGGAUUCGAGGCAGGUGAAGAGGCCAAUUAUUGAUACUUCUGUACAGGGUCGAAUAUGGGAGCUAAAGUAACAUUUGAAAAUCUUCUUCUGUUAUACACCUCAAG